Long non-coding RNA from Culex quinquefasciatus (southern house mosquito), 457 nucleotides. RefSeq lists it as uncharacterized. NCBI's taxonomy places the organism in Eukaryota, Metazoa, Arthropoda, Insecta, Diptera, Culicidae. The record is from RefSeq and is a predicted model, not a curated record. The transcript has 2 exons.
CCACCCCCGACGAGUGUGUCUUGAAGAGAUAGUGGGAAGGGUUAAUGGUUCUUAAAAGGAAGAAAAUAAAAUACCUCAGCACUUGAUUCAUUCAAUCGUUGGUAUCCCGCGAGCUUAAACCAUCCGAGGAAUCGUUCCUAAUUUUGUCGCAAAAUGUUACACAAAUUGUGUUGUGGAAGCAAAAGUUACAGCAUGGAGUCCGGAUCAGUUGGCAGGGAUAGUGUCGCUCAGGAAUCGAGUACCGGAUCAGUAUCCACCGUAACAGUUCAACCUGGAUUCAAAAAUAUUAACACGGAAAGUGCACCAACGAGUACAGAAAAUGGAAGUUAAUUUGCGUAAUUUUUAAGUGAAAAUAUAAACAAUCGAAUCUUUAUUGCAUGAUUUAGUAUGCUACAAUGUGAAAAGUUUUAUUUUUUUAAUCCUGUGUAAAAUAAAUGUUUGGAAAAAGUGACAAGAA